GAUGAACGCUGGCGGCGUGCCUAAUACAUGCAAGUCGAGCGAACAGACGAGGAGCUUGCUCCUCUGACGUUAGCGGCGGACGGGUGAGUAACACGUGGAUAACCUACCUAUAAGACUGGGAUAACUUCGGGAAACCGGAGCUAAUACCGGAUAAUAUAUUGAACCGCAUGGUUCAAUAGUGAAAGACGGUUUUGCUGUCACUUAUAGAUGGAUCCGCGCCGCAUUAGCUAGUUGGUAAGGUAACGGCUUACCAAGGCAACGAUGCGUAGCCGACCUGAGAGGGUGUCCGGCCACACUGGACCUGCGCCCGGGUCAGACCCCCCGCGGGAGCCCGCAGGAGGGAUUCUCCCGCAAUGGGCGAAGCCCUGACGGAGCACCGCCGCGUGGUUGAGAAAGUUUUUGGGAUCUAAAACCUCUUUUAUUGGGGAAAAAAAAUGUUGUAAGUAACUAUGCCCGUCUUCAGGGUCCCUAAUAAGAAACCCCCGCCCAACCCCGUC
Molecule: ribosomal RNA, 497 nt
Filed under: uncultured bacterium
Lineage: Bacteria
Description: partial 16S ribosomal RNA
Rfam family: Bacterial small subunit ribosomal RNA
Source: RNAcentral